Molecule: small nucleolar RNA, 89 nt
Filed under: Anisakis simplex (herring worm)
Lineage: Eukaryota; Metazoa; Nematoda; Chromadorea; Rhabditida; Anisakidae
Description: Small nucleolar RNA sn2903
Rfam family: Small nucleolar RNA sn2903
Source: Rfam by way of RNAcentral
GAGCGAUGAUGAUUGCACGUUUGCUGACACCUCUUAUGUUAGCACUCAUUCAUAAUGGGUGCGGUGAUUAUAAACUGUUCUCUGAGCUC